UACGGAGGGGGCGAGUGUUGUUCGGAAUUACUGGGCGUAAAGGGCGCGCAGGCGGCAUGGCAAGUCGAGUGUGAAAUCCCCCGGCUUAACUGAGGAAUGGCGCUCGAAACUACCUCGCUGGAGGGCGGGAGAGGGAAGUGGAACUCUCGGUGUAGGGGUGAAAUCUGUAGAUAUGACAUAGAAUACCAAUUGCGAAGGCAGCUGGCUACGCGAAUAUUGACACUCAGGCACGAAAGCGUGGGGAUCAAACAGG
This 253-nucleotide ribosomal RNA is filed under the name uncultured bacterium. RNAcentral's name for it is "partial 16S ribosomal RNA". It matches the Rfam family "Bacterial small subunit ribosomal RNA", at positions 524 to 776 of the family's 1533-position model. The record is from RNAcentral.